This is a small nucleolar RNA of Panicum virgatum (switchgrass), 139 nucleotides long. RefSeq annotates it as small nucleolar RNA Z247. The record is from RefSeq and is a predicted model, not a curated record. Lineage: Eukaryota; Viridiplantae; Streptophyta; Magnoliopsida; Poales; Poaceae. The transcript has a single exon.
CCAAUUGAAGACGAAGAGCUGGUGGCCUACAACCUCAACAGUUUGGAUGAUGAUUUCAAUCCAAUAGUUUCUGCUCUCAUGACUAAAGAAAACCCUAUUUCUCUUGAUGAUCUUUAUUCCCAACUUCUGAGCUUCGAGA